Molecule: unclassified non-coding RNA, 563 nt
Filed under: Hevea brasiliensis (rubber tree)
Lineage: Eukaryota; Viridiplantae; Streptophyta; Magnoliopsida; Malpighiales; Euphorbiaceae
Source: RNAcentral
CCUCACGACGAGACCUUUGAGACUGCACUCAUAGAAUUGGGAUAUUUAGUUAGUUGUCUGGAUAGACACCCAAAACUUGGGAAACUAAGAAAUUUAAAGAAAAUGAAGCAAAGAGGAAUUUUUUUUGGGAAAAAAAUAACUUUUUUGCAUCACAUAAUGAUUAGAUAUUAAUGGGCAAGUGAAAUGAUAGGUUUUCUCAAGGGUAAGAGUAUAAUCGGGCUUUGACUACCAAAGCUAAAUACAAUCUUCCCAAAGGGGGCAAAAAAUUAAAAAAAAAGAAAGAAUGACUCUAAUCCUUGAUUAAUUCUGGAAUGCAAUAUUGUAAUGGCAUGUUAUUGGAAUGGCAUUGGCAUAAUGAAAAAGAACUGGAAACUCAACCACAAACAGAAAAUUGAAAGAUAUUCUGUUUUCAAAAUCAAUAUUCUUGAAGGGCUGCUGUAAAUGAAAUUCUAAGGAUUCAGAUGGAAAGAUUCAGAUGAUCAACUAACUUGAUGCAAGUUAUCAAAAUGGGUCAAACCUUGCAACCGAAUCCAUCCUUCAAAUUUUUGUAUAACACAUGGAGU